AAGCUGCAUAUAAUGCAGCUGUGUCAGCAUGCUUGUCCCUAUCCUAUAACUGUUGGAGUCUGGCUUGAGAAUCCAGUGAGCUGCUUGUCAGUGAGGCGCAAACCAUGUGUGAGCUGGUCCUGGUCGAGGAGGCUCAAGGUCCAGGACUGAUAUGGCUGGUUCGACACCUGCAGAAUCAAGUUUGUUCUAUAUGCGUUGGGCAAGAAACCUGGUGGUUCCAUGAGUACAAACAAAAGUCUACCUCAAGUGAAAGAACCAUCCAGGUCAAAGGAGAGAAGAUGGGCCAGGCCUGGGCUCUUCAUCAACGUAUUUGUUUUGGUAUGUAAUGCUUGUCCUGCAGGCUGUGUAAUGGCUCUAAUAAAAUGUCUUUCUAACUGUAUAGCAUGCCUGAGUUGUCUGCCCUGGAGAAUAAUUUGGAUCCUUAUUUGCUGUUGCCCAAUGUGUUUGUAUUGCUAAAUAACAUUGGCCUGUGUAUGCAAGAAGAUGCAAUCUAGUUAGUGUUUCAAAGAAUUUUUUAGAAUGAGUUGGGCAAAGCAGUGUUGGGAUUCCACGCAGGACGGUCCAGCGAAGACAACAGGCUCCUGCCUCAGGUAGUGGUCCUUCU
This is a long non-coding RNA of Gasterosteus aculeatus aculeatus (three-spined stickleback), 604 nucleotides long. NCBI's taxonomy places the organism in Eukaryota, Metazoa, Chordata, Actinopteri, Perciformes, Gasterosteidae. The record is from Ensembl.